Molecule: ribosomal RNA, 751 nt
Filed under: Eualus amandae
Lineage: Eukaryota; Metazoa; Arthropoda; Malacostraca; Decapoda; Hippolytidae
Description: eukaryotic LSU rRNA
Rfam family: Eukaryotic large subunit ribosomal RNA
Source: RNAcentral
UUGAAAAGAACUUUGAAGAGAGAGUUCAAGAGUACGUGAAACCGUUUAGAGGUAAACGGAUGGGACCGCAAAGUCAACCCGGGAAUUCAACUUGUCGAGUGGUUGUGGGCGUUGGGUUCGGAUCCGUAGGACCGACCUGGCGUCUGGCAGCUGCCGGCAGGCGCACUUUUCCGGGUGAGCGUCACCACCGGUUCGUCGGCGGUCAGAAGCCCGUCUCGAAGGUAGGCACUCUUUCGGGAGUGUUGAUAGCGUGGCGUGGUGUUGGCCCGCUGGUGGACCGAGGCAAUAGCCCCUUCCUGCCCUCGGCUUUGGGCGUGCGUUCGACUCGGGUGGACUGUUCUCAGUGCUCUCGGACUGCGUGCGUUUGGAGACCGGGCAAGCUCGGAGAGGCCCAAGGUGACGAGUCGGUCGGCUCCCCAUCCGACCCGUCUUGAAACACGGACCAAGGAGUCUAACAUGUGCGCAAGUCAUGGGGUUCUACGAAACCUAAAGGCGCAGUGAAGGUGAAGGCUUGCUUUUCGGUAGGCCUAGGUAGGAUCCCGUCCCUUGGGGCGGGCGCACUACCGGCCCGUCUCGUCCGCGCUGUCGGUGAGGCGGAGCAAGAGCGUACACGUUGGGACCCGAAAGAUGGUGAACUAUGCCUGAGUAGGACGAAGCCAGAGGAAACUCUGGUGGAAGUCCGUAGCGAUUCUGACGUGCAAAUCGAUCGUCAAACUUUGGUAUAGGGGCGAAAGACUAAUCGAACCAUCUA